GAUGGGAAGAGAAGAAAUGGUUUUAUAAGAUUACUAAACUUGUUUUUCUCCUUUUUUCAAAGGUUAUUUGUUUAGUUGUAAUGUGUUGAUGAGCACAAUGAACAGUACAAACAUAUAAUUUCAUCAAACACAUUGAAUCUUACAUUUGAUUUGAUAUUUUACGAAUUUCUAUUAUGGGCAGUCCCAAAGGAAAGAAAAGGAACAAAGUUCAUAUAUUUCUGCAGCCGAGUACUUGGAAGAGACUUUUCAUUCAACUUCAAAGAACAACAAUACAUUCACAGAAAGAAGUGGAUUCGAUAUUUACAAAUUAGAAUUUCUUAGAUUUAUGGAUUGGAACAACCCCAUUGAAAGUGAUGCUUUUUCGACACCUGUUGCUUGAAUUCCGGGUUUAAUCACUUCCAUUACCCAAAAGAAUAUUUCUCUUCUCCAGUCAAACGCAGCUUUUCCCAGAUUUGACGCUUAGUGUUCGUCUUCUUCUACAUUCCCUUCCCUUCACUUCCAUCCAAAAAAUCCCACAACAACAACAACCAAGUGGGUGUCGCAAUUACACCCCUAUUCUAACCUCUCUCGUUCGCCCGGCCAUUUCAACUUGGAAUGCUUUAAAGUGCCAUUAUUACUCAACUUAGGGGCGCCCAUGGAGCAUGACCCAGAACCCAUCCUCAACCGUUCCCUUUUUUUAAGCACUCCCUACUAAACUUUUGGUUCUCAAGUUAUUAAACCCUUUUUUUUUUUUUUUUUUGUAUUUUGUGCUUUUGUGUUUUAAACCACAUGGACAAAUAAGUUUUAGAAACUCCUAUUUUGGGUAGUGGAAUUUGUGAAUUUUAAAAGCUAGCUAAUUGACAGGGAUAAUUCGUCGAGGAAGUACCGACAAUGUAACAAGCAAUUUCUACUGCUAGAUGCGUGUGUGACAUACUCACGUAGUGUUGACUUCUUUGAAUAAUUCUUUCGAUAGAUCGAAGAGAAUUUUUUUUAGCACAUAUCACUUUCGUUCAACAUUUAACUACUAUUAAAUGAUAUAUUACUUUAUUACACGAGUUUCACACAAUUGUUAAGUGUUUCUUUCAUAUAGGAUAAGCAAUCUAAAGAAAACAUCAUUUAAUGAGCUCAACUAUAUAACUACGCUUUAAUAAUCACUGGGUGUAGAUUUAGAAAUCUAGAUAUUCUCUAAAUAAUCAAUAACUACAAUUUCGUUAUUUGUAUAGUUUUUCUCUAGAAAACUGUCAACUACGUUGUGUGGCUUCCUCGAAUAAUUUCUCCACUUGAAAAGCUUGCCUACGAAGUAUGAGUUGAUAUAGUCAACUAAGCUAAGGAAUUUAUAUGGUCUAGAUUAAGUAGACCUAAUAUACCAUGUGUAAGGUCUGACUUAUUGAAUCAUAGACUAUAAAAUACAAUCUAUGUGUAUAAGUUAACUAUGCCAAAAUGGAUUAGGUUUCCUACAAUAAUCUAAAGGGGCAUCACCGAAACCAGCAAACAGGCACAAGCCACAACACCCAUGUUUGGUACAAGUGAUAAACAUUGAUUUAUUCAUAUUAUAUUUGUUGUUUUUAUUGUAUUAAAUAUGUUAAUGAAUAUCAUAUAAUAACCCAUUUCUCACAUUUGACCAACACCUACCCACCUAUAUGGUUUUGGUUGCAUUUUUGUAGCAAUGUAAUUUAAUAAUUGAAUUGUGGCAGAUGCAUA
Long non-coding RNA from Cucumis sativus (cucumber), 1680 nucleotides. RefSeq lists it as uncharacterized. NCBI's taxonomy places the organism in Eukaryota, Viridiplantae, Streptophyta, Magnoliopsida, Cucurbitales, Cucurbitaceae. The record is from RefSeq and is a predicted model, not a curated record. The transcript is spliced from 2 exons.